AUACUUACCUGGCAAGGGAGAUACCGUAUCAUGAAGUUGCUUUCUCAGUGUCAGGCCUGUCCAUUGUAGUCCAGAUGUGCUGACCUCUGUGAUUCUCACGUGUAGGAAACUCGAUGGUAGUAGGGAAC
Molecule: small nuclear RNA, 128 nt
Filed under: Chinchilla lanigera (long-tailed chinchilla)
Lineage: Eukaryota; Metazoa; Chordata; Mammalia; Rodentia; Chinchillidae
Description: U1 spliceosomal RNA (ENSCLAG00000019995.1)
Rfam family: U1 spliceosomal RNA
About the family: U1 is a small nuclear RNA (snRNA) component of the spliceosome (involved in pre-mRNA splicing). Its 5' end forms complementary base pairs with the 5' splice junction, thus defining the 5' donor site of an intron.
Source: RNAcentral